Long non-coding RNA from Thalassophryne amazonica, 608 nucleotides. RefSeq lists it as uncharacterized. The transcript has 2 exons. NCBI's taxonomy places the organism in Eukaryota, Metazoa, Chordata, Actinopteri, Batrachoidiformes, Batrachoididae. The record is from RefSeq and is a predicted model, not a curated record.
ACUGUAAAGACAUCAGUAUCAAUCUUUCCAAAGCAGAGGGCAAGUGUAUUGUCAGGAGGGAAAUGAACUUACAACAGCAAAAAUGCUGGGGGCAGGAGACUAUGGGUAGGCAUUUAUUUUCAGUAGCUAGUAGAGUGACAGAUUCAGUAAAUAGCUGUAGAAGAAACAGGAGGAAAAGAAAGGAUGAAGUCACUAUUGCUAGACUGAGAAUUAGUUAUACUUUCUUUAACAGUGCUCUCUUCCUCCUAGGAAAGCACCAGGAUGGACUAUGUUUGGAAUGUCCACAGCCAGAAACAGUGCAGCAUGUCCUCAUGUAUUGUAACAAAUAUUCCAGAGAAAGGCAAGAGCUUCUCUCAGAAUUUAGAAUUAUAGGCCUGAAAGAAGUUUCUGUAGAUGUAUUUUAGACAUAGGGUCAAGUAGGAGGGGGAAGUGUUGGCUUUUUAAAUACUUGAAAUAUACUGAACUCAAUGAGAGGAUUUAGUACUGCUAUAACAGACUGAUGCAGACGGUGGCACUGAUGCAACAAUAAGUAUGCCGGCUGCCGUUAACCGGCACAGAAGAAGAGAGGUGCGCUUAAUUUAUUCACUGGGGCAGAUUUUGAGAAAGCC